GACAAAAACUUUGAGAAACACAGAUCUUUUGUUGUAACACAGUCCCAAGGUGAGGUCAAAGCAUUAACUUAUUAUUCCACGACUAGUGCAUCAUUUGUGCCAUUUAGACUGCUUUCGAUUGUUGAA
This is a non-coding RNA of Parasteatoda tepidariorum (common house spider), 126 nucleotides long. The record is from RefSeq and is a predicted model, not a curated record. Lineage: Eukaryota; Metazoa; Arthropoda; Arachnida; Araneae; Theridiidae.